This 497-nucleotide ribosomal RNA is filed under the name uncultured bacterium. RNAcentral describes it as "partial 16S ribosomal RNA". It matches the Rfam family "Bacterial small subunit ribosomal RNA", at positions 28 to 507 of the family's 1533-position model. The record is from RNAcentral.
GAUGAACGCUGGCGGCGUGCCUAAUACAUGCAAGUCGAGCGAACGGACGAGAAGCUUGCUCCUCUGAUGUUAGCGGCGGACGGGUGAGUAACACGUGGAUAACCUACCUAUAAGACUGGGAUAACUUCGGGAAACCGGAGCUAAUACCGGAUAAUAUUUUGAACCGCAUGGUUCAAAAGUGAAAGACGGUUUUGCUGUCACUUAUAGAUGGUUCCGCGCUGCAUUAGCUAGUUGGUAAGGUAACGGCCUACCAAGGCGACGAUGCGUAGCUGACCUGAGAGGGUGAUCGGCCACACUGGAACUGAGACACGGUCCAGACUCCUACGGGAGGCAGCAGUGGGGAAUAUUCCGCAAUGGGCGAAAGCCUGACGGAGCAACGCCGCGUGAGUGAUGAAGGUCUUCGGAUCGUAAAACUCUGUUAUUAGGGAAGAACAUAUGUGUAAGUAACUGUGCACGUCUUGACGGUACCUAAUCAGAAAGCCACGGCUAACUACGUG